CCUACGGGCGGCAGCAGUGAGGAAUAUUGGUCAAUGGACGAGAGUCUGAACCAGCCAAGUAGCGUGAAGGAUGACUGCCCUAUGGGUUGUAAACUUCUUUUAUAUGGGAAUAAAACGUUCCACGUGUGGGAUUUUGUAUGUACCAUAUGAAUAAGGAUCGGCUAACUCCGUGCCAGCAGCCGCGGUAAUACGGAGGAUCCGAGCGUUAUCCGGAUUUAUUGGGUUUAAAGGGAGCGUAGGUGGAUUGUUAAGUCAGUUGUGAAAGUUUGCGGCUCAACCGUAAAAUUGCAGUUGAAACUGGCAGUCUUGAGUGCAGUAGAGGUGGGCGGAAUUCGUGGUGUAGCGGUGAAAUGCUUAGAUAUCACGAAGAACUCCGAUUGCGAAGGCAGUUCACUGGACUGCAACUGACACUGAGGCUCGAAAGUGUGGGUAUCAAACAGGAUUAGAUACCCUAGUAGUC
This 460-nucleotide ribosomal RNA is filed under the name uncultured bacterium. RNAcentral's name for it is "partial 16S ribosomal RNA". It matches the Rfam family "Bacterial small subunit ribosomal RNA", at positions 338 to 795 of the family's 1533-position model. The record is from RNAcentral.